RNAcentral lists this long non-coding RNA (743 nucleotides) under Homo sapiens (human). Its description in RNAcentral is "non-protein coding lnc-DHRSX-1:5". The record is from RNAcentral. Lineage: Eukaryota; Metazoa; Chordata; Mammalia; Primates; Hominidae.
GGAGGUGGCUCGGGCCGCGCCGAGGGGACCACGGGACGCCCUCCUUCCCUUCUCAGGAAACUGUGAGUGCCCCCCGCCCACAAGCCCGUCGCCAGGAUGCCGCCAACUAGAGCAAAGUGAAACCCCCAACAUUCUCGGGAAAGUGCGGGUCCCUCCCUCUCUACAGCCCCUUAAAUGCACGCCCCAGGGCGGCCCCUACCUGGAGCCAAGAGAAACCGCUGCCCUUCUUGGAGAGGUGUGGGCCUCUCCGCGCCCGCCCUUGCUGUCCCCUCUCUGUUCCUAACAGGCACCCCCCCCAGGCAGCCCCAACGGGGAGGAAAUGAAACUCUUCCUGCUCCUCUGCUCGGAAAACUAUGGGGCCCCCUUCCAGCUGCUCACGGGGCGCUCAGGGCGAUCCCCAAGGGGUGCAAAGUGCAAUCCCCUCCCUGCUUAGAAAGGCGUAGGCCUUGACAGGCAGCCACGGCCCCUGGUCCUUUCUGGAGCGUCCGAGCUGGGGGCGCUCAGUGGUGAAAGAUGGCGGGGGUGGGGGGCUUUGAGACACACUGCGGAUACCCGCUCUGCGCGGGACCAAGGACGUUCUGCCGCAAGCUCAGAGACAGGGUUGGGAGUGAGGACUUGUGGUCGUGGUUUGGGGUUGGGGGUAAGACCCCUAUCUGGGUCGCCUGGCUGAGUCCUGGUCCUUGGCGACUCACCCCAGCAGGCUGCGUCAGGGGCCCUUCGGUAACACUGGUCUUGUGCUGUCU